RNAcentral lists this ribosomal RNA (506 nucleotides) under uncultured bacterium. Its description in RNAcentral is "partial 16S ribosomal RNA". It matches the Rfam family "Bacterial small subunit ribosomal RNA", at positions 30 to 523 of the family's 1533-position model. The record is from RNAcentral.
ACUGAACGCUGGCGGCAGGCUUAACACAUGCAAGUCGAGCGGUAACAGAGAGAAGCUUGCUUCUCUGCUGACGAGCGGCGGACGGGUGAGUAAUGCCUAGGAAUCUGCCUAGUAGUGGGGGAUAACUUGCCGAAAGGUAAGCUAAUACCGCAUACGUCCUACGGGAGAAAGGAGGGGACCUUCGGGCCUUUCGCGAUUAGAUGAGCCUAGGUCGGAUUAGUUAGUUGGUGAGGUAAUGGCUCACCAAGACCGCGAUCCGUAACUGGUCUGAGAGGAUGAUCAGUCACACUGGAACUGAGACACGGUCCAGACUCCUACGGGAGGCAGCAGUGGGGAAUAUUGGAAAAUGGGGGGAACCCUGAUCCAGCCAUGCCGCGUGUGUGAAGAAGGUCUUAGGAUUGUAAAGCACUUUAAGUUGGGAGGAAGAGCAGUUAACUAAUAUUUGACUGUUUUGACGUUACCGACAGAAUAAGCACCGGCUAACUUCGUGCCAGCAGCCGCCGUAG